GAAAAAUUUUUAAUAUUUUUUUCAAAGUCUACAAUAACAAUGGGUUUACCUCCGUUUACAUUGAGCGCGCGCGUGCGCAUACUAUACAAUUUGAUUAGCUCAAGAAAUUUUUAAGAAAAAACGAAAACGUACUU
This is a long non-coding RNA of Aphidius gifuensis, 134 nucleotides long. RefSeq lists it as uncharacterized. The record is from RefSeq and is a predicted model, not a curated record. The transcript is spliced from 2 exons. Lineage: Eukaryota; Metazoa; Arthropoda; Insecta; Hymenoptera; Braconidae.